CAAAAAUGUGGGCGUCCUACACAUGCAGUCGACGGGUUAGGGGUUGUCCUUAAUUUAGUGGCGCACGGGUGAGUAACGCGUGGGUAACCUGCCCUCGAAUUUGGGAUAACUUGCCGAAAGGUGGGCUAAUACCGAAUAAGACCACUUCUCCUCGGAGGAGUGGUAAAAGGUGGCGCAAGCUGCCGUUUGAGGAUGGGCCCGCGUCCGAUUAGCUAGUUGGUAGGGUAAUGGCCUACCAAGGCUGUGAUCGGUAGCUGGUCUAAGAGGAUGAUCAGCCACACUGGAACUGAGACACGGUCCAGACUCCUACGGGAGGCAGCAGUGGGGAAUUUUGCGCAAUGGGCGAAAGCCUGACGCAGCAACGCCGCGUGGGUGAUGAAGGCUUUCGGGUCGUAAAGCCCUGUCGGAUGGAAAGAAACGGCUGGAUGCUAAUACCAUUCAGCCUUGACGGUACCAUCAAAGGAAGUCACGGCUAACUCUGUGCCAGCAGCCGCGGUAAUACAGAGGUGACAAGCGUUGUUCGGAAUUAUUGAGCGUAAGGCGCGUGUAGGCGGUUUGUUAAGUCAGAUGUGAAAGCCCAGGGCUUAACCCUGGGAGUGCAUUUGAUACUGGCGAACUUGAGUACGGGAGAGGGUAGUGGAAUUCCGAGUGUAGAGGUGAAAUUCGUAGAUAUUCGGAGGAACACCGGUGGCGAAGGCGGCUACCUGGACCGAUACUGACGCUGAGGACGCGAAAGCGUGGGGGGGCAAACAGGAUUAGAUACCCUGGCUAGUCCACGCCGUAAACGAUGGGCACUAGGUGUAGGAAGUAUUGACCCCUUCUGUGCCGGAAGCUAACGCAUUAAGAUGCCCCCGCCUGGGGAGUACGGCCGCAAGGC
RNAcentral lists this ribosomal RNA (877 nucleotides) under uncultured bacterium. RNAcentral's name for it is "bacterial SSU rRNA". It matches the Rfam family "Bacterial small subunit ribosomal RNA", at positions 30 to 894 of the family's 1533-position model. The record is from RNAcentral.